Molecule: non-coding RNA, 24 nt
Filed under: Arabidopsis thaliana (thale cress)
Lineage: Eukaryota; Viridiplantae; Streptophyta; Magnoliopsida; Brassicales; Brassicaceae
Source: RNAcentral
UGAUAAAUCAAGGUUCCUGCUCAU